CCCAUUCCACCAGGAGAAGUCUUCAUGUGCUUGGGGUUCAGAAGUCCAAGGUGAUCUUUACUGGACCAGGUGUUCAAGCUAUGAUAACCUUGGAACCAGUGUUACAGGUAGCAGCAUUCAUGGUUGUUGGAACUAAUUGUUCUCAUCUGCCUAUUCUGCUGGGGGAAGACUUCAUAUGCUUGCGGAAGACAUCCUCCUAACUCACCAAUGAGUUUGAGACCUGUUGGUUUACCCUCAGCCUGGUUUAGCCUAUCUGCAGAGGCAGUUUACCCAGGUCUGCCCAUGCUACAGCUUCUUGGAGCCACAGGCUUCCCCAGUACAGAAAGGUGAGUAGGUGAGGAUUAAGCUCUUCAAUGGAAGCUGGAGACAACAGCAUCUGGAACCAGGGAAGGCAGAUCUAUAUUCAGCAGAGAUAAGAGCCCUGAUGUGGAAAUGACGAGAAGGCUAAUUUCAGAAAAACCAAG
Long non-coding RNA from Vombatus ursinus (common wombat), 464 nucleotides. RefSeq lists it as uncharacterized. The transcript has 5 exons. Lineage: Eukaryota; Metazoa; Chordata; Mammalia; Diprotodontia; Vombatidae. The record is from RefSeq and is a predicted model, not a curated record.